Molecule: transfer RNA, 81 nt
Filed under: Phytoactinopolyspora alkaliphila
Lineage: Bacteria; Bacillati; Actinomycetota; Actinomycetes; Jiangellales; Jiangellaceae
Rfam family: tRNA
About the family: Transfer RNA (tRNA) molecules are approximately 80 nucleotides in length. Their secondary structure includes four short double-helical elements and three loops (D, anti-codon, and T loops).
Source: Rfam by way of RNAcentral
GCGGGAGUGGUGGAACGGUAGACACGUCGCGCUUAGGACGCGGUGCCUUCGGGCGUGCGGGUUCGACUCCCGCCUCCCGCA